AGCGAACGCUGGCGGCAGGCCUAACACAUGCAAGUCGAGCGCCCCGCAAGGGGAGGCGGCAGACGGGAGAGUAACACGUGGGAACGUACCCUUUGGUUCGGAACAACCCAGGGAAACUUGGGCUAAUACCGAAUAAGCCCUUACGGGGAAAGGAUUUAUCGCCGAAGGAUCGGCCCGCGUCUGAUUAGCUAGUUGGUGAGGUAACGGCUCACCAAGGCGACGAUCAGUAGCUGGUCUGA
Molecule: ribosomal RNA, 239 nt
Filed under: uncultured bacterium
Lineage: Bacteria
Description: partial 16S ribosomal RNA
Rfam family: Bacterial small subunit ribosomal RNA
Source: RNAcentral